RNAcentral lists this ribosomal RNA (650 nucleotides) under uncultured Escherichia sp. RNAcentral's name for it is "bacterial SSU rRNA". It matches the Rfam family "Bacterial small subunit ribosomal RNA", at positions 28 to 667 of the family's 1533-position model. The record is from RNAcentral. Lineage: Bacteria; Pseudomonadati; Pseudomonadota; Gammaproteobacteria; Enterobacterales; Enterobacteriaceae.
AUUGAACGCUGGCGGCAGGCCUAACACAUGCAAGUCGAACGGUAACAGGAAGCAGCUUGCUGCUUCGCUGACGAGUGGCGGACGGGUGAGUAAUGUCUGGGAAACUGCCUGAUGGAGGGGGAUGACUACUGGAAACGGUAGCUAAUACCGCAUAACGUCGCAAGACCAAAGAGGGGGACCUUAGGGCCUCUUGCCAUCGGAUGUGCCCAGAUGGGAUUAGCUAGUAGGUGGGGUAACGGCUCACCUAGGCGACGAUCCCUAGCUGGUCUGAGAGGAUGACCAGCCACACUGGAACUGAGACACGGUCCAGACUCCUACGGGAGGCAGCAGUGGGGAAUAUUGCACAAUGGGCGCAAGCCUGAUGCAGCCAUGCCGCGUGUAUGAAGAAGGCCUUCGGGUUGUAAAGUACUUUCAGCGGGGAGGAAGGGAGUAAAGUUAAUACCUUUGCUCAUUGACGUUACCCGCAGAAGAAGCACCGGCUAACUCCGUGCCAGCAGCCGCGGUAAUACGGAGGGUGCAAGCGUUAAUCGGAAUUACUGGGCGUAAAGCGCACGCAGGCGGUUUGUUAAGUCAGAUGUGAAAUCCCCGGGCUCAACCUGGGAACUGCAUCUGAUACUGGCAAGCUUGAGUCUCGUAGAGGGGGGUAGAAU